GAUUUCCAUGGCAGCGCCGCUGCGGACAGAGCGGACUAGGAGCCUGGCGAGGCUUGGAGGCGCGGCGGGGCGAGGAUGGGGUCCGCCCAGAGAGCCCUGGCAGGUUUUGAUCUUUGGGGUCCAGGCUCUUUGUGGUUCAAAAUGCUGACGUGGGCUGGGCGAUCUGCUUCAGUCGUGUGAGGCGGCCUUUUGUCGGAAGAUGGUUGGCAAACUCAAGCAGAACUUGUUGCUGGCGUGCCUAGUGGUCAGCUCGGUGACAGUCUUCUACUUGGGGCAACAUGCCAUGGAAUGCCACCACUGGACAGAGGAACGGAGCCAGCUGGUCCGCCUGGAGCCAGCGAGGGCCACAUCGAGAGCCAGCUUGGGUUUGAAAGAAAACGCCACCUUGCCUUACCACAAAGACAUGCCUUUAAUCUUCAUCGGAGGGGUGCCCCGGAGUGGCACGACCUUGAUGCGGGCAAUGCUGGAUGCUCACCCGGACAUCCGUUGCGGGGAAGAGACCAGGGUGAUCCCUCGGAUCCUGGCCAUCAAGCAGAUGUGGGCUCGGUCAAGCAAGGAGAAGAUCCGACUGGAUGAGGCGGGUGUCACUGAUGAGGUCUUGGAUUCAGCCAUGCAGGCAUUCUUGUUGGAGAUCAUCGUAAAGCAUGGAGAGCCGGCUCCAUUCCUGUGCAACAAGGACCCCUUUGCCCUCAAGUCCUUAACUUACCUCGCCAAGAUUUUCCCCAAUGCCAAAUUUGUCUUGAUGGUACGAGACGGCCGGGCGUCCGUCCAUUCCAUGAUCUCCCGGAAGGUCACCAUUGCUGGCUUUGACCUCGACAGCUACAGGGACUGCUUGAUCAAGUGGAAUCGUGCCAUUGAGAUUAUGUACAACCAGUGCUUGGAGGCCGGCUUGGACCGUUGCAUGAUUGUGCAUUACGAGCAGCUGGUCUUGCAUCCUGAGCAGUGGCUGAGGACCCUUCUGAAGUUCCUUCACAUCCCGUGGAAUCCUGCCGUUUUGCACCACGAAGAAAUGAUCGGGAAAGCCGGGGGCGUCUCUCUUUCCAAAGUUGAAAGAUCUACGGACCAAGUAAUCAAGCCGGUGAACGUGGAAGCCUUGUCGAAAUGGGUUGGGAAAAUCCCCGAUGACGUUGUUCAUGAUAUGCCGGUGAUUGCCUCCAUGCUGGCAAAACUAGGCUACGACCCUUUUGCCAACCCCCCCAACUACGGGAAGCCGGAUCAGAAAGUUCUGGAAAACACGAGAAGGGUCUAUAAAGGAGAAUUUCAGCUUCCUGAUUUUCUCAAAGGAAUGCCACAGCCCAGGAAGACGGUGGAAAGGAAGCCGCAUGUCAAGAUAAAAUGAAUGAGGAGCUGAUAAAAGUAGAAUAACUGAUCUAGUGAAAUAGAAGACCUGGUGGACUUAAUGGGAUGUUGGCUGCCUUUUAAAGAAAGCAGCUGGGUGACAUCGUCAAAGAACCUGCUGGGCUGUUUGUUCAGAAAAUAUUUUUUUGUUUCAUACUAUGGUCUUUUUUUUAAAAAAAGGGGGGAAGAGUUGUGUGCACAUGUAAACUUCUGUGUCUCACUCCUUGUGCCACUGACUCCACUGAAAUACGGGAGCUGUUUAUGGCAAGUGAUUCCAGGAUCAAGGCACUGAAGAGAGGACAAUCCAGUUAGAAAUCUCUUCUGGGCAAGCCUCCUUAGAGCCAAUGGAUAGCGCACAAGAACACUUCAUUGCAUGCUUGCUGUCCAGCGUUCACGACACUUAUGUUCUUGGUGGACUGAGCCUGAAGCACUUUCAUGGCAAAACUCCUAAGACUUGGUGCUGGAAAUCCAGGACUUUUGUUGUCCGUUUACACAACUGUUUAGAAACCACAGAAGCAGAGCGUGUUUGGGCUGAGCUGAAGAUGCUAGUCUGUCUGUUUUUUUCUUUCUCUCUCUCUAGUUCUUGCACCUUAGCUUUUAAAUGAGUGGAUUUUUAAAAACUGCUUCAGGAUGUCAAAUACAUGAAAUCGUGGAAAUACAUUUUUGUGCUUGCCUGAAGAUACUUAGCUGUGGCCCACAGGUGUGUGAGCAGCGGGCUGUGACCACACUGGAGCAUGUCUGUUGAUAUCUGUGUGCAUAUCCACCAAACUGUUGGUAGGCGGUCAUCACAUGAUGGGGAUGGAGAAACAGAGACUUAGACUUCAUCUCCCUUGCCCCCUCACCCCAAACCGGAGAUGGACAAUGCCAAGGCUGAUUCCUCAGAUUAUCUGUGCAUCAAUGCCCAUGCAGGCUGAUCUGCGAUCUGCAAGGGUGCCUACAUAUACGAAUCUUGGGUACUGGCUAGGAGUCCUUUUUUCUUCUUGCUCUUGUCCCUGUGGGUUAUCUUUUUCCACACAUGGCUCGGGUCUGUCAGUUGAUACACAUGCAGGGAUUUGCUCCUCUGUGUGUAUUCCUUUUCUUUGAUCAGUGGCGAUUAUUUGCUUUUCAAUUUCUGGAGAAUGAUUUAUGUGCUCCUCCCUCUUCUUCUUUUUGCAGUUUUAUUGACAUGUGAAAAAUGAUCUUAGUUUUAAUUAUUUAAAAAAAAAUGAUAUCUGAGAUGUGGAGAGAUGACUUGUAUGUUUACAAUUCAACAACCUUUUUGUAUUUUU
This is an RNA transcript of Rhineura floridana, 2606 nucleotides long. It is a transcript of the gene named tyrosylprotein sulfotransferase 1, with no coding region annotated. The record is from RefSeq and is a predicted model, not a curated record. Lineage: Eukaryota; Metazoa; Chordata; Lepidosauria; Squamata; Rhineuridae. The transcript is spliced from 7 exons.